AACGGUCUAUACCUGCGGUACCUGCGGAGGGAUCAUUACCAAUUUUUAUAUGUUAGUUUUUGCCUGUAAAGGUAUUAAACUAUCUACUGUAAACGUUGAACUAGAUCAUUGGUUGUGGAUUGCUUGGGAAUGGACGAAGCGACAAGCCUCUUCCGGACAGGCAAACCCCACACCGAUAACCUUUUCAUAUAUUACAACUAGUACAUACUACAAACACACAACAAACAAACAAUCAAUAGG
Molecule: unclassified non-coding RNA, 240 nt
Filed under: soil metagenome
Description: partial contains 5.8S ribosomal RNA, internal transcribed spacer 2, and large subunit ribosomal RNA
Source: RNAcentral